RNAcentral lists this ribosomal RNA (616 nucleotides) under Burkholderia sp. IBa227. RNAcentral's name for it is "bacterial SSU rRNA". It matches the Rfam family "Bacterial small subunit ribosomal RNA", at positions 391 to 999 of the family's 1533-position model. The record is from RNAcentral. Lineage: Bacteria; Pseudomonadati; Pseudomonadota; Betaproteobacteria; Burkholderiales; Burkholderiaceae.
GCAAUGCCGCGUGUGUGAAGAAGGCCUCUCGGGUUGUAAAGCACUUUUGUCCGGAAAGAAAUCCUUGGCUCUAAUACAGUCGGGGGAUGACGGUACCGGAAGAAUAAGCACCGGCUAACUACGUGCCAGCAGCCGCGGUAAUACGUAGGGUGCGAGCGUUAAUCGGAAUUACUGGGCGUAAAGCGUGCGCAGGCGGUUUGCUAAGACCGAUGUGAAAUCCCCGGGCUCAACCUGGGAACUGCAUUGGUGACUGGCAGGCUAGAGUAUGGCAGAGGGGGGUAGAAUUCCACGUGUAGCAGUGAAAUGCGUAGAGAUGUGGAGGAAUACCGAUGGCGAAGGCAGCCCCCUGGGCCAAUACUGACGCUCAUGCACGAAAGCGUGGGGAGCAAACAGGAUUAGAUACCCUGGUAGUCCACGCCCUAAACGAUGUCAACUAGUUGUUGGGGAUUCAUUUCCUUAGUAACGUAGCUAACGCGUGAAGUUGACCGCCUGGGGAGUACGGUCGCAAGAUUAAAACUCAAAGGAAUUGACGGGGACCCGCACAAGCGGUGGAUGAUGUGGAUUAAUUCGAUGCAACGCGAAAAACCUUACCUACCCUUGACAUGGUCGGAAUCCU